This 667-nucleotide ribosomal RNA is filed under the name uncultured Tomentella. RNAcentral describes it as "eukaryotic LSU rRNA". The stretch from base 217 to 384 matches the Rfam family "5.8S ribosomal RNA". Lineage: Eukaryota; Fungi; Basidiomycota; Agaricomycetes; Thelephorales; Thelephoraceae. The record is from RNAcentral.
GAUCAUUACGAAUUGUCAAAAGCGGGUUGUUGCUGGGUCUUCAAACGGGGGACAUGUGCACGCUCUGUUUACACAUCCACUCACACCUAGUGCACCCUCCGUAGUUCUAUGGUCUCGGGGGACCCUGUCUUCCUGCGCGUGGUUCUACGUCUUUACACACACUCUGUAAUAAAGUCUUAUGGAGAUUGUAUGCCGCGUCUAACGCAAUAGCAAUACAACUUUCAGCAACUGGAUCUCUUGGCUCUCGCAUCGACUGAAGAACGCAUGCGAAAUGCGAUAAGUAACUGUGACAUUGCAGCAAUUCACGUGAACUCAUCGGAAUCUCUCUGAACGCACCUUGCGCCCCUUGUGCUAUUCCGAGGGGCGAUGCCUGUUUGAGUAUCAUGAACACCUCAACUCUCAUGGUUCGCCAUGAUGCAGCUUGGACUCUGGGGGUUUUGCUGGCCUGCUGGUCGGCUCCCCUCAAAUGAAUCAGCCUCCCAGUGUUUGGUAGGCAUCACGGGUGUGAUAAAUAUCUACGCUCGCGGUCGUCUGCCAGGUAACCUUUGGUGACAAAGGUUCGCUGGGAAGCUCACCAGAUGUCUCUCCUCGGCGAGGACAGCUUUUUUUGAACCGUUCGAUCUCAAUCCAGGUAGGACUAACCCGUGAACUUUAAGCAUAUCAAUUA